Molecule: ribosomal RNA, 497 nt
Filed under: uncultured bacterium
Lineage: Bacteria
Description: partial 16S ribosomal RNA
Rfam family: Bacterial small subunit ribosomal RNA
Source: RNAcentral
GAUGAACGCUGGCGGCGUGCCUAAUACAUGCAAGUCGAGCGAACAGAUGAGGAGCUUGCUCCUCUGACGUUAGCGGCGGACGGGUGAGUAACACGUGGAUAACCUACCUAUAAGACUGGGAUAACUUCGGGAAACCGGAGCUAAUACCGGAUAAUAUAUUGAACCGCAUGGUUCAAUAGUGAAAGACGGUUUUGCUGUUACUUAUAGAUGGAUCCGCGCCGCAUUAGCUAGUUGGUAAGGUAACGGCUUACCAAGGCAACGAUGCGUAGCCGACCUGAGAGGGUGAUCGGCCACACUGGAACUGAGACACGGUCCAGACUCCUACGGGAGGCAGCAGUAGGGAAUCUUCCGCAAUGGGCGAAAGCCUGACGGAGCAACGCCGCGUGAGUGAUGAAGGUCUUCGGAUCGUAAAACUCUGUUAUUAGGGAAGAACAAAUGUGUAAGUAACUAUGCACGUCUUGACGGUACCUAAUCAGAAAGCCACGGCUAACUACGUG